GACAGCCAGGAUGUUGGCUUAGAAGCAGCCAUCAUUUAAAGAAAGCGUAAUAGCUCACUGGUCGAGUCGGCCUGCGCGGAAGAUGUAACGGGGCUAAACCAUGCACCGAAGCUGCGGCAGCGACGCUUAUGCGUUGUUGGGUAGGGGAGCGUUCUGUAAGCCUGCGAAGGUGGCCUGUGAGGGUUGCUGGAGGUAUCAGAAGUGCGAAUGCUGACAUAA
RNAcentral lists this ribosomal RNA (219 nucleotides) under Salmonella enterica subsp. enterica serovar Goldcoast. RNAcentral's name for it is "partial 23S ribosomal RNA". It matches the Rfam family "Bacterial large subunit ribosomal RNA", at positions 1088 to 1305 of the family's 2925-position model. Lineage: Bacteria; Pseudomonadati; Pseudomonadota; Gammaproteobacteria; Enterobacterales; Enterobacteriaceae. The record is from RNAcentral.